CAAAAUAAUCAGAAAAUAGUAAUAAGAGUUCGUUCACAGUUCUUUUUCAAGGAAUCAUUCAAGUGCUUCCUCUUUCAGUUAAUAAUUCAUCCCUGAAGGUGACGUUCACCGAAGGACUAUGCGUUUUUGUUGUCACGUAUUGUAAACUAGGAAAGGUGCGGAGUUAAAAAAAACCAAAAAAAAAAACACUUUAGGUAAGUUAUCACCUACCUGGUGUGCGACACUGCAUAUUUUGGUAUUAAUUCGAUUCCAAUUAAAUACAGAGCCAGUAUCGCCAAUAUUGAUAUCGAUACCUUUCAAAAAUUCAAAUAGAUGCAUCAUCAAAUUGCUAAUGUCAAUUAAUGUUCAUUGUUAGAAUAAAAGUACAUUUGUUAUCCCAUAUUUACUCUUAUAGUAUUUUCAAAGCAUGCAUUUAGCAGUAUGUUGAUUGUAUCAUGUGUAUUGAAGUUGUCUUUGAGUCUGUUCACAUGUUGCUGCUAUGUGCUCCCCCAACUUUAUAGCAGCAACAGCUGUGUAACUAGGAACCGCCCUAAGAAAAUAAAAAGAGAGGAAGCGACAGAGUUUGUUCAGAGCGGUAGGAGUUUGUAAACUGCGAACAACUCUUAAUCGCUCUCCUCGCGAGUAUAAAAAAACAUCUCUUGUCUUCCUUCCUUGUUUAUUGUUUAUUAAAUGUUCUAGGUUGUUUGAACCUGACAUUAACUUGGUCCUUCGAGCCGGAUGCCAAAAUACCUAAGGAUUCCAGCGGGUGUGGUGGACUCCAGAAAGACCGUGGCCACGGCAGGCUCCCUAAAGAGAGUCUGAGAUCCUUUUCCAGGACUGGAGCUCGACCCACCAGCUGGGAUCUGACGGUUGACGGCAUUCCGAUGGAGGGAAGACAACAGUGGUUUGGCAGCUGGGCUCAUCCUCUCCCAACUUCACUUUGGAAGGCCAUGAGAAAGGGGUCAGUUGCCUCGACAAUUACAGUGGCGGAGACAAGCCCUACCUGAUAUCAGGGACUGAUGACCGUCAGGUCAAAAUCUGGGACUACCAGAAUAAGACCUGUGUUCAGACACUGGAGGGCCAUGCUCAGAAUGUCUCAUGCGUGAGCUUCCACCCAGAGCUGCCAAUCAUAAUCACCGGGUCAGAGGAUGGUACGGUACGUAUUUGGCACUCGAGCACAUACCGCCUGGAGCGCACCCUCAACUACGGUAUGGAGCGAGUGUGGUGUGCGUGCGUCCUCAGGGGGUACAACAAUGUAGCGCUGGGCUAUGAUGACGGCAGCAUCAUUGUCAAAGUGGGCCGCGAGGAGCCGGCCAUGUCAAUGGACACCAGCGGGAAGAUUUGGGCCUAGCACCGUCAAAUACAGCAGGGCAACUUGAUGGAAAUGGGUGAUGCUGAGAUUAAGGAUGGAGAGAGGCUCCCACUGGUGGUGAAAGACUUGGAAAGUUUUGAGAUACUGAGGUGGAUUUUUUUUCGCCUGUGGUUCCGAGUCGGAGGUCACCCGGGAGAACUCCGGCUUCCGUUGGGCAGGAAUGAAUGAAGACUUCGAGACACUUACCGUUUGGGCUAAUUUGAUUUAUUGAACAAGCCUUAGUGUCAUAGCAGCUGCGUACAAAGCCAGGACAACGAAAAAGCCCCCGAAAACCCCUGGAUCUCAGUUUAUCAAGGUUUAAUUCUCUGGGCGUGGAAUUAGCCCCUCCCUGGGUGCACCCGGAAGAUGGUCGUUCCUCAUGACCAUAUUUGGAACCACACCCGCCUGCUGGUGCUUCACAGUCUAGCUAAACUCACAUCCGGUACCCUUAUCUUAGAAGAUGCAAAACAGUCCUCUUUGCAGACCAGGACACCUGUUGUGAACCCAAGACCUGUUACUGUCUGGGCGGAGAAGGAAACCCCUAAUAAACAUACAAAUGGUUGAAGAAAGUCCUUUGAUGUAGAACUACAAAGAAAAGAUGGUUGGCUUGAAUACAGAUCUCCAAACAUUUGGCCCUCUCAAAGGAACUCUGACUAUGGCACUAUUGAAAUAUACAACACACCACCACAAGAGGAAAGUGAUUCAACCGUUUCAUGCAGUGUGAGAGUGGGCAACAGUGAUUGCACUUCAAUGAUUGUUCCAGUGUGGCUCUCUUGGGCAGCAGAGAAAGGCCAAGAAAUCAAAGCUCAAAGCUAAACUACAUAUUCCCCGCUUUAAUGAGAUCUCCAAACUCAUUACAAGACAUAGAAGCAGCAACUAACACCUGGCAAGAAACAACAAACCAGCGUUAGCCCAAAAAGAUAACCUAUUAUCUACAAUUUGGACAAAUCUACUUGGUCAAGAAAGCCUAUCAUGCGCCAAGGCAUAUACUUAAGGUUAACCAUUAACUUGGAAAAACAAUUAUCCUAAUAAGGCCAAAUCACUCCCUGCGUCCCCUUGUCGCCUCCUGAGGUCAUACGUGAGUACCAAACAGCCAAAUAAACCAAAUCUCCUUCCCGCGAAGAAUAACGACACGACGCUCGCCAAUCCUAAAUGUAGGCAUUUGUACGUGCAGCCUCGUCGGAGCGCCAAGGAUUCGCGGCUCUCAGUCGAAAAACCUCUCUCUUCAGAGACGAGGAAAAGAGAGAGAGCCAUAGCAAGCCUCCUUCAGAGCCCCUUGUAGCAAAUCGCCCAAGGGGACCCUGACACGGAUGACAAAACAUCCACAACAGAAUAAUACAAUUAUUGAAAUAAAUGAACAAAAACAGAGUAAACCACAAAAAUACAACUGUGGAAGCAAACAUAUCAAAAUACACACAAAUGAAAAUAGAAAAACUCAUAAAGGUGGUCUCCCUCCAUAUGGUCUACAGUUCGUGACAUUAACGAAGAAAUUCAGAACCCUUCCGCCCAGGUCCCGCUGUCCACAAUCACAGUACAUGAACAAGUCCCAGAAUCCAGGUUUAUACAAGCGGGACCCCAAACAGCUCCAGAACACUCCUGGAAAAACAAAAACAUCUGCCAAUAUUUUGCAACAAAAUCAAACAUAAUAUAACAAAUUGUCAAAUGGAUAUCUAACAAUGCAACAU
Molecule: long non-coding RNA, 3015 nt
Organism: Phyllopteryx taeniolatus (common seadragon)
Lineage: Eukaryota; Metazoa; Chordata; Actinopteri; Syngnathiformes; Syngnathidae
Exons: 5
Source: RefSeq, a predicted model, not a curated record